Sycon ciliatum is the source of this 393-nucleotide long non-coding RNA. RefSeq lists it as uncharacterized. The record is from RefSeq and is a predicted model, not a curated record. Lineage: Eukaryota; Metazoa; Porifera; Calcarea; Leucosolenida; Sycettidae. The transcript is spliced from 4 exons.
UUUCACUCAACCUUCGCUUGUGUGCUCUCAAGUUCCCGAAGGAUUUUUCACAAGGCACCAUCUUAGAUGGAUAUGAUGUAAAAAAGUAUAUUGCUUUAAGUUUGACUGAGGCCAUUUGCCGGCAAAACUGUAGCAUCAUUUCCGACCUGGACAAAUGCGAUUUGUGUACCGGUUAUCUGUUCAACUACAAUUGCCUUGAGCGAGAUGAAUGUCUACAUCAGAUUCACAAUUGCGACUCCAAUGCUGCGUGUACCAACACGGUUAGGUCCUACAACUGCACGUGUAACUCUGGGUUUUACGGUGACGGCACAUCCUGCAAAGUAUGCAAUUGCUUGAAUCACGGUCAGUGUACUGAAGAUGGCACCUGCAACUGCCAGAAAGGAUUCCACGGAG